RNAcentral lists this long non-coding RNA (550 nucleotides) under Mytilus galloprovincialis (Mediterranean mussel). Lineage: Eukaryota; Metazoa; Mollusca; Bivalvia; Mytilida; Mytilidae. The record is from RNAcentral.
CCCUUUUCCCUAAAUUAUAUACUAAAUUUACAUAAUGAAUCAAUUUUGUCGAUAUAUAGUACACUUACCUGAAUCAUACCUGUGUGAAUGACAGGUGUUUCACUUGAUUAUCAAUAUUUUAUCAAAACAUAAACAAUGGCACAUGGCGCACACUCACCUCACGAUUUCCUUCGUUUUCUUUGUUGUCUUCUCUUUUCAAUUGACAUCCAUUAAUAAAUGAUGGUUGUGCGAUGUUGUUUAAUUUACAAUUAUAAUCUGUGAUGUACAUUUUUACGGGUUUAUCAUUUGCAAUCAGAAGUCCAGUUUCAGAAAUUUGUGUGGCUACUUCCGCCAUUUUCAAUACAAAUGAAAAUGUUUGCUUAUCAAAUUUAAUCACGCUCCAAAGCUCACGAUAAUGUACUGUAUCUCUCCUCGGGUCACCUACCAAUAAAAUAAUUUAUGUUACAUUUAAAUGUUCAACAAUGUUUCAUAGUAUUUUCUGAAGCGCAAAUUUAACGUUGACAAUGGUCGAGUAGUCUGUUCUUUUCGGCGAUCAGCUGCUGCAUUUGAA